RNAcentral lists this ribosomal RNA (374 nucleotides) under uncultured organism. Its description in RNAcentral is "partial 16S ribosomal RNA". It matches the Rfam family "Bacterial small subunit ribosomal RNA", at positions 527 to 896 of the family's 1533-position model. The record is from RNAcentral.
GUAGGUGGCAAGCGUUGUCCGGAAUUAUUGGGCGUAAAGCGCGCGCAGGCGGUUCUUUAAGUCUGAUGUGAAAGCCCACGGCUCGACCGUGGAGGGUCAUUGGAAACUGGAGAACUUGAGUACAGAAGAGGAAAGCGGAAUUCCACGUGUAGCGGUGAAAUGCGUAGAGAUGUGGAGGAACACCAGUGGCGAAGGCGGCUUUCUGGUCUGUAACUGACGCUGAGGCGCGAAAGCGUGGGGAGCAAACAGGGAUUAGAUACCCUGGUAGUCCACGCCGUAAACGAUGAGUGCUAAGUGUUAGGGGGGUUUCCGCCCCCUUAGUGCUGCAGCUAACGCAUUAAGCACUCCGCCUGGGGAGUACGGCCGCAAGGCUG